UACAGAGGUCUCAAGCGUUGUCCGGAUUCAUUGGGCGUAAAGAGCUCGUAGGCGGUUUGUCGCGUCUGCUGUGAAAACCUAAGGCUCAACCUUGGGCUUGCAGUGGGUACGGGCAGACUAGAGUGCGGUAGGGGUGACUGGAAUUCCUGGUGUAGCGGUGGAAUGCGCAGAUAUCAGGAGGAACACCGAUGGCGAAGGCAGGUCACUGGGCCGCAACUGACGCUGGAGGAGC
This 232-nucleotide ribosomal RNA is filed under the name uncultured bacterium. Its description in RNAcentral is "partial 16S ribosomal RNA". It matches the Rfam family "Bacterial small subunit ribosomal RNA", at positions 524 to 754 of the family's 1533-position model. The record is from RNAcentral.